RNAcentral lists this ribosomal RNA (274 nucleotides) under uncultured bacterium. RNAcentral's name for it is "partial 16S ribosomal RNA". It matches the Rfam family "Bacterial small subunit ribosomal RNA", at positions 523 to 796 of the family's 1533-position model. The record is from RNAcentral.
AUACGGAGGGUGCAAGCGUUACUCGGAAUCACUGGGCGUAAAGCGCGCGCAGGCGGCUAUUUAAGUUGGAUGUGAAAGCCUACGGCUCAACCGUAGAACUGCAUCCAAAACUAUUUAGCUAGAGUGUGGGAGAGGAAGAUGGAAUUAGUUGUGUAGGGGUAAAAUCCGUAGAGAUAACUAGGAAUACCGAAAGCGAAGGCAAUCUUCUGGAACACUACUGACGCUGAGGCGCGAAAGCGUGGGGAGCGAACAGGAUUAGAUACCCUAGUAGUCC